Molecule: ribosomal RNA, 632 nt
Filed under: Irpex lacteus
Lineage: Eukaryota; Fungi; Basidiomycota; Agaricomycetes; Polyporales; Irpicaceae
Description: eukaryotic LSU rRNA
Rfam family: 5.8S ribosomal RNA (bases 208-361)
Source: RNAcentral
CGGGUUGUAGCUGGCCUCUCACGAGGCAUGUGCACGCCUGGCUCAUCCACUCUUAACCUCUGUGCACUUUAUGUAAGAGAAAAAAAUGGUGGAAGCUUCCAGGAUCUCGCGAGAGGUCUUUGGUUGAACAAGCCGUUUUUCUUUCUUAUGUUUUACUACAAACGCUUCAGUUAUAGAAUGUCAACUGUGUAUAACACAUUUAUAUACAACUUUCAGCAACGGAUCUCUUGGCUCUCGCAUCGAUGAAGAACGCAGCGAAAUGCGAUAAGUAAUGUGAAUUGCAGAAUUCAGUGAAUCAUCGAAUCUUUGAACGCACCUUGCACUCCUUGGUAUUCCGAGGAGUAUGCCUGUUUGAGUCUCAUGGUAUUCUCAACCCCUAAAUUUUUGUAAUGAAGGUUUAGCGGGCUUGGACUUGGAGGUUGUGUCGGCCCUUGUCGGUCGACUCCUCUGAAAUGCAUUAGCGUGAAUCUUACGGAUCGCCUUCAGUGUGAUAAUUAUCUGCGCUGUGGUGUUGAAGUAUUUAUGGUGUUCAUGCUUCGAACCGUCUCCUUGCCGAGACAAUCAUUUGACAAUCUGAGCUCAAAUCAGGUAGGACUACCCGCUGAACUUAAGCAUAUCAAUAAGCGGAGGAA